UCUUGAUUUUCAUCUUCUGGGAGCAACUUGGUUGGGCACAUACGUGGCUAGUUCUCAGAAAUCUUCAAAGCAGCAACUGUCAUCAUACAAGUACAACACAGAGUGCCAGCAACAGAAGUAAAAGAUAAAAAGUAUGAGCAACGUUGGAACUUCCUCAUUUGUUCUUUUUGUAAAACAGGUUAUCAAACUCGAGGCGAAAAAUCAAGGUAAAAAUUCUCAAUUACAGAUAGAUGUACCAACAUGGCAUUGAUAAACAUAUCACAUCCUUGCUUCCACAGGAAGCACAGAAAAAACACAACAUGUGCUUUUGUGAGAAGCACAGAUAUAAUUCCGCAAGAAGUACGGUUUUGCUUCCACGUGAAGCACAACAUUUGUUUUCAUGAGACGUGCAAUUCUUCUUGAAAGCACAUCUACCCUUCUACCGAAAAAGGAAAAAUGUCCUACCGCAAGAAGCACAACUUUUCUUAUGCAAGCCUAGAAAAAAGGAAAAGCACAGCAUGUGUUUCCAAAAAAAUGAAAACAUAGUUGUGCUUCUGGCCUUCGAUUUUUUCUUCUUUCAAUUUUAUUUUUCCCGGAUUCCAUUUUUUUGCAUUUUUUUGUAUUUUUUGUUUUCUUUUCGGUUCCGGAUUUUUGUUCUGGGUUUUCUUUCGAUUUUUUUGUGAAAAAAGUUGUUGAAACCUAUUAACAUGUGAUCUAAUUUCGAAGAUCUCAACGCGGAAAAUCAAAUGAUUAAAAUGGUUCAGAAUUUGGAUACACGGUUCAAGAGAUGAACCUUAUUGAAAAAACAAAUACGAAAAAAAAACUACAAGGUUGCGACAAGUGGCGCACAUGUAGUGCGCUGGUGGGAUGUUACUUUUGCAAGCAUAAGCAUUAACUAGUGAUUUUGAGGUCCUUCUUGCAGUUCUCACUGCACUUAACGUGCAUCGGCUUCGCCUUCGACUUCGGCCCUUGGGCCUUGGGCGGCCUCUCAGCAGGCCCCUUCGGCUUGUCUUCCUUGGGCUCCUUCAGCUUGGGCCCCUGGGCCUUGGGCGGCCUCUCAGCAGGCCCCUUCGGCUUGUCUUCCUUGGGCGCCUUCAGCUUGUCGGACCGGGCGGCGGUGGCGGUGACAAGGAGAAGAACGACCGCCGCCACAACCAGCACGACUCCCAGGCGCCUCGCCAUUGCCAAAGCCCUCACGGUGUUGCUCCUAGCUUAUAGUAUGGUCUUGGUAGUGUCUUUCGUUCUGUUGAUUAUCUGAGAUGGGUGCGUUUGUAUGCAUGGUUCCCAUGGAAUUUAUAGAGCAUGGAUACCUAUGUAGCUCACUUGGUACGUGGUGCUCGUCAACGGCGCCGGCCUAUCUAUCUUGGCCGGAAUGUAAGUUGCCGCUCGCUUGAAGCGGCAAAGGUUAUGCGUUGGCCAGGACGCGACCUAAUCUUCAAGGAAAAGAUGCUAAUGCAUGUGCUUAGCAGCCUGCUAGCGGAAGCGAUCCCAGAGUUUCACCGUCCUUGAUUACAAUAUCUCCUAGUGUGUGUUAAUUACUCUUCACAAUGAGCAAAAGUUGCAGGUUGAUCGAGUAGUACAUAUGUACUAGCUGUUUCAGUGGUAUAGACGAACAUGACCCCCCUCCUUUUUUUUGUUUUUUUGGUUUUUGUGCAAAGUACAUUAACCCGGACAUUUUUAUUUUAGUACGUGUUCCAGAAAAGAAAUAGAAGAAUGUGACUAUGCGACAUUGUAUAUGUUAGUGCAAUGCGACUAUGCGAGCACAUUGUGGUUAUCUGAAGCCCCAAGAACCAUAGAAGAUUAAAGAUGGUUAGACGGGACACCGUGCUAGUUUGAAAAUAAAUGUCAGUGCCCAAACAAAUAAACUAGCUUCUCGUCGUCAUCACUUUGCGCAUCCUCUGCGUCACUUGUCAGGCUGCUGAAAACCCCAAGUUAUUAGAAGAAAAAAGGAACAAAAUGCAAAGUCACUUUGGGUGGGCUGCAGCCAGUAUAUCUCCCAAGAAAGGAGAGGACAACCUGUCAACGGCUUUACAUCGAUAAAACAAUAAAUGGAACAGGACAUAAAUAGAAACGACCCUCAUAUGUACACUCUGAUCCCUGCUUACAGGCAAUCAUCAAGCUCUUAGAUCUAUUUCAGACAGUAACGUGCAACGUGCAUGCAGGGUUAGAAGACCGGGACCCCAAAAGAGCUAAAUUCCGAAGAUGAUCGAAGAAGCAUACUGUGAAAUAGUCACCACCGCAGAUAAACUUUUCCAGUUCAUAUGCAUAUAUAAGACGAAUGGCAUCUUCUGUGACAGAUUGCCACUCUUUCUCAGACACAACCUGAACCAAGCUUAUAAAUAUCUUGCACUAUAUAGAUAGAUAGAUAGAUAGAUAGAUGCGGCGCAGCGCAGACACCAAGUUAAAAUUAAUAUAUCCUGCGCGCAUUGAUCUUGAAGAUGCGGCCCACACCUAGGGUAGAUGUAGCUAAUACAUAGUUACUGCUAACGGGUUCGUAAUCUCAAUAUGAAACUCAGGGCCCUCCAUGAAAAUCUUGAUUUUCAUCUUCUGGGAGCAACUUGGUUGGGCACAUAGGUGGCUAGUUGUCAGAAAUCUUCAAAGCAGCAACUGUCAUCAAACAAGCAAAACAGAGUGUCAGCAACAGAAGUAAAAGGAAAAAAGUAUAAGCAACACUGAAACUUCUUCAUUUGCUCUCUUUGCAUCACACUCGUUGUCGAGCUAAAGGCUAAAAAUUAAGGUAAAAAUUCUCACUAACAAACAGAAAAGGAAGCCAUGAUUAUGUAACAAACAUAACCAACAUGCCAUGUUAAAUUACCAAGCAAUGAUGUCUGAAUUAAUGGACGAGUAAAAAAUCUAUCUUAGCUUCGUUACUGUUUUAC
Molecule: long non-coding RNA, 2858 nt
Filed under: Triticum aestivum (bread wheat)
Lineage: Eukaryota; Viridiplantae; Streptophyta; Magnoliopsida; Poales; Poaceae
Description: long non-coding RNA (TAES_LNC026616)
Source: RNAcentral